GGUUAUGGCACUUCAUGGAGUCCUGCACUCUGAGAUUCAGGUAUUUUACCCCAACCUUCCCUUCAAUAUCUCCGUGUGUGUUCAGAGAGCAACUUCAACAAUGCUCAAGUUAAGUACAUAUUAUCAAAGGAGAUAUUCACCUUUCCUCUUUAACAGAAUCAGAUCCUAAUUGCACCUAAUUAUGCUGGGAACUGAGGAAUCUUCCAUAGUUUUUCCCUUUGUGAGAUUUCUUAUAACAAUAGAAUACUUAAAAAGGGAAUUGGCACUGUGAACCAAACCAUUAAAGAAUUUUACGUAGCAUUUGUUCUUUCGCCUGGCUUCCAUUAAGGGGUGGAUGGCACACGAAUAUUGACUCACUGAGUGCUAGGUGCUAACAUUUUUUUAUCUUUAUUCCUUGUCUCGUAUCAGUGCAGUGUUGCCACAAUAACAAACAAACAACUAUUCUAAUAGCUUGGUUCAUAGCAAAUCUUUCCACUACAUUUGGGAGCCCCAUCUGAUCAUACGAAGUUUGUAUCCUCAUGUAUAUAUGGAGCUCCCAAAAUUAUCUACAAAUUGGAAAAAAAAAAGUUCGUUUCUCAGUGCACGAGACUUCCUGCAAUAGAAACAAAUGCAAAGAAUUGAUGAGAAUGCAAAGAGCAGGAAACAAAUCCAGAACAGAAAUUUUAGUACUGCAGUAUUGUCUAUAUAGUGAACCUUUAGCAUUCAUCUAUGUUGCACAUAUUUGUAUGCUUAUA
Molecule: unclassified non-coding RNA, 734 nt
Filed under: Hevea brasiliensis (rubber tree)
Lineage: Eukaryota; Viridiplantae; Streptophyta; Magnoliopsida; Malpighiales; Euphorbiaceae
Source: RNAcentral